This 72-nucleotide transfer RNA is filed under the name Trichonephila inaurata madagascariensis. It matches the Rfam family "tRNA". Rfam says of the family: Transfer RNA (tRNA) molecules are approximately 80 nucleotides in length. Their secondary structure includes four short double-helical elements and three loops (D, anti-codon, and T loops). The record is from Rfam by way of RNAcentral. Lineage: Eukaryota; Metazoa; Arthropoda; Arachnida; Araneae; Nephilidae.
GCCCCUGUAGCGCAAUGGAUAGCGCGUUGGACUUCUAAUCCAAAGGUCGUGGGUUCAAAUUCCCCUGGGAUG